RNAcentral lists this long non-coding RNA (2363 nucleotides) under Heterocephalus glaber (naked mole-rat). RNAcentral's name for it is "lncRNA (ENSHGLG00000036625.1)". The record is from RNAcentral. Lineage: Eukaryota; Metazoa; Chordata; Mammalia; Rodentia; Bathyergidae.
GCCGGGCGCCGUGGACCCGGGACGCCUGCCCCCGGGUACCCUCCGCGGAUUCCCCGACCGCGCGCCCCGCCGACCCCGGAUCCCGGCGGCAGGGAGCUCCGGAGGCGGCCGGCACCAUGCGGCGGACGUGGGGCGCGCUGCUGCUCGGCACCCUGCUCAGCGCACACGAUAACAUCUUUGGGACUGACACAUGGUAUCAAGAAUGACAGGUGCAAGAGACCCAGGGCUGGCCAUGACUGACACUGAGCACGUUGGGCAUGUUCAUCUUCUGAGCCAGCACAGGACACAGAAGGUCACAGAGGAUUUUAUAGCUCUUCUCUCGCUCUGGAGCUUUCUACUGAUUAACUGCUAGCCUUGAUCCCUAAGAAGAAGCAAAAACGGGAGGGAUUGUUUAUAUUGCUGUUCCUCAAAGAGAAUAAACACUAAGAGGUUAUUGAAUGGGAGCAGAAUGGGUGUCUCCUAAGGACAGGACAGUUCUGUGCCCUUGGCCUGUUCUAGACAUAGUCUCUCUGUGAGACUCGCCACCACUUUGUCACAGUUGUCUGGACAUGGGCCAUCUGAGUCCCAUACUGUGUUGGCUUGCCGUCUUGUUUCAGCAACAGAAGCCUUGCUCCUCGCUCAGCCUGGUGGGAUUUGGCGUCCCAGGGAAGACUCUGCUGGCUGGUUGGCUGGCAGAGCCUGAGUGUGGCCCUAUAAAUAGCUCUGCUGACUGCCCAUGCUUCCACUGGCCCUCCAGCUUUGAGCUGCAGGGAUCCAGCUCUCUCUCCUUGGUACACUCAGAAGCAUUGUCCAAACUAGGCUCUGCACCCAUUCAUUUGUUCGUUCAUUCAACAAGCAUUAAGCUUUUUUGUUGUUGUUGGGUUUUUUUGGUACCGGGGAUCGAACUUGGGUCCUUCCGCUUGCGGAGGCAAGGGCGGAACCACCGAGCUAAAUCCCCGGCCCAACAUUAAGCUAACAUAUGUGGCUCAGUAAUUGAGAAACACAGGCAAGACCUGGUUUUGAAUCUUGGCUUUGACACUUCUUGGUGACCCUGUGUGAAACACUGAAUCUCCCUGAGUUUCAGGGUUCUUACCUGCAAAUGAGGGUGAAGUGAGGAAAGGAGGAAGGUAGUCAAUUUUCACCUAAGAAUGCUAUAAAACUUGAGAUAAUAGCGUGUUCAAACUAUCCAGCACAGAGCCUGGCAACUACUGUGAUACUAUAGGGCUGGAUAGUGUCACCUGUUUGUUAGCAGGGUUGCGUAAGUGGAUCAGAGAUAGUUCUUGCCUUUGGGAUAUGGGAGCCAGGUAAAUAAUUAUACCACAGUGUCUGUGUGCUUAGACGCUUAGUCCUUCAUUCAUUUCAGCUGGUGUUUUGCUUUUCUCUGGGACGUCUUGUGCCUUCUUCCUUCUCAUUCAAAGCCUCAUGAAACCUAAGCGUGGUUCCUGCCUGUCCACACUUUGGGGAAAGAGGUCCAUUAAGCUUUCAAUGAGCAGGGCAGCCCCGUUCUGCCUUAGAGGUGCCUGGGAGAUGGAGCUUCCUUGUAUAAUAGUCAGGGAGCAGCCACAACUUCUCACCCUUAGCUUGCUGUGACCCCAAGGUGAGAGGUGCUGGCCAAGGUCUCUUGUAGCUGGAACAGUUUAGAAUUCCAACUCUCCCUCCCUUGGGCCUGAGGAGGGAGUCGGGCCUCAAAGCUUAUAAGGUAGCAAUUGCCUCGAUUUGGGGGCUGGGCUGUUGGAGCCUCCUUUCUUCGUGAACCCUGUCACUUACAGGGAUAAUUGAUGCAGGGCUCCAGCCCCAGACUCACCCCUAGACCCCUAGCACCUCCACCCCAAAGUUUGACCCCUGUUGUCUCUUUGUUUCUUCCUUUUAAGUUGGUGCCAGUGAUGUGAUGUUUCUGGGAGCUACGGAAAGUUGACUGUAACCCAGAGCAGCCGUUUUUCAAAGAGCCGAUUCUCUGGUUUCCUGGCGGUCCUUUGAGUCUAUUUUCUGUUCUGCAUUUUUGAUUUAGCAAGAAGCAAACAUCCUAGGUGCCCUUGGGCACCUCUUAUGCCCAUCCAAGCAGACUUCGUUAUUUCAGAGCACGUCAGCAUUCCCAUCUGUGCUCACACAUGAGUGAGCCUCGCUGCACCCUGCCCUGCUCCCCCUCGCCCCACGAGUGGGGCUUUUGGAGCCCCUGGUCAUUCAGGUGAGAGUGAGGAGGGGAGGGGCACGGCCUGGGACCCAGCAGGAAAGCCUGGCUGGGACUUGCAGCAAGCCCAGACUUGGCAAAUGGGAUCUAAGGAUCAGAGCUGCGAGCAAGCCGGAAACAAAGGACUGGGAGCAAACCUCCCAUCUGGCCGAGAGGCAGCGACACAAAGGUGCUGCUGCAUAAUUUAUCACCGGAG